This 392-nucleotide ribosomal RNA is filed under the name uncultured bacterium. RNAcentral describes it as "bacterial SSU rRNA". It matches the Rfam family "Bacterial small subunit ribosomal RNA", at positions 30 to 420 of the family's 1533-position model. The record is from RNAcentral.
AUUGAACGCUGGCGGCAUGCCUUACACAUGCAAGUCGAACGGCAGCGGACCUUCGGGUGCCGGCGAGUGGCGAACGGGUGAGUAAUAUAUCGGAACGUACCUUUCAGUGGGGGAUAACGUAGCGAAAGUUACGCUAAUACCGCAUAUUCUGUGAGCAGGAAAGCAGGGGAUCGCAAGACCUUGCGCUGAUUGAGCGGCCGAUAUCAGAUUAGCUAGUUGGUGAGGUAAAGGCUCACCAAGGCGACGAUCUGCAGCGGGAUCUGAGAGGAUGAUCCGCCACACUGGAACUGAGACACGGUCCAGACUCCGUACGGGAGGCAGCAGGUGGGGUAAUUUUGGACAAUGGGCGCAAGCCUGAUCCAGCCAUGCCGCGUGAGUGAAGAAGGCCUGGU